GCCCUCGUAGCUCAACGGAUAGAGCACUUGGCUUCGGACCAAGGGGUUGGGGGUUCGAGUCCCUCCGAGGGUA
This 73-nucleotide transfer RNA is filed under the name Sphaerobacteraceae bacterium. RNAcentral's name for it is "tRNA-Arg". It matches the Rfam family "tRNA". From Rfam's summary of the family: Transfer RNA (tRNA) molecules are approximately 80 nucleotides in length. Their secondary structure includes four short double-helical elements and three loops (D, anti-codon, and T loops). Further hydrogen bonds mediate the characteristic L-shaped molecular structure. tRNAs have two regions of fundamental functional importance: the anti-codon, which is responsible for specific mRNA codon recognition, and the 3' end, to which the tRNAs corresponding amino acid is attached (by aminoacyl-tRNA synthetases). tRNAs cope with the degeneracy of the genetic code in two manners: having more than one tRNA (with a specific anti-codon) for a particular amino acid; and 'wobble' base-pairing, i.e. permitting non-standard base-pairing at the 3rd anti-codon position. Lineage: Bacteria; Pseudomonadati; Thermomicrobiota; Thermomicrobia; Sphaerobacterales; Sphaerobacteraceae. RNAcentral also lists the same sequence under 2 other names. The record is from RNAcentral.